RNAcentral lists this unclassified non-coding RNA (248 nucleotides) under uncultured fungus. RNAcentral describes it as "sequence contains ITS1, 5.8S rRNA gene". The stretch from base 200 to 248 matches the Rfam family "5.8S ribosomal RNA", at positions 1 to 49 of the family's 154-position model. Lineage: Eukaryota; Fungi. The record is from RNAcentral.
UUUCCGUAGGUGAACCUGCGGAAGGAUCAUUACAAUUUUGGCACACCAAGAUGCCCUCGGGCGUUGCGGUGUUGUCAAUCGAGAUACCAACCCAUGUCUUUUGCGCACCUCACGUUUCCUCGGCAGGCUCGCCUGCCAAUGGGGACCACGAAGAAACCUCUUGCAGUUGCAGUAAACGUCUAAACAAACAAAAAAUCAAAACUUUCAACAACGGAUCUCUUGGUUCUGGCAUCGAUGAAGAACGCAGC